GGCUCAGUGGCUCAGUUGGUUAGAGCGCCGCCCUGUCACGGCGGAGGUCACGGGUUCGAGUCCCGUCUGGGUCG
Molecule: transfer RNA, 74 nt
Filed under: Candidatus Limivivens merdigallinarum
Lineage: Bacteria; Bacillati; Bacillota; Clostridia; Lachnospirales; Lachnospiraceae
Description: tRNA-Asp
Rfam family: tRNA
About the family: Transfer RNA (tRNA) molecules are approximately 80 nucleotides in length. Their secondary structure includes four short double-helical elements and three loops (D, anti-codon, and T loops).
Source: RNAcentral